CCUAACCUUGGGACUGGUUAGGCUACACGUUGAUUAAUUUCCAAUUCAAUCACAACAAUUAGUAAUUUCGCAAUGAACUUUGAAGUGAUGGUGAUUUACUUUCAAUUAAUCAACUAUUUAUC
Molecule: non-coding RNA, 122 nt
Filed under: unclassified sequences
Description: RT-16 RNA
Rfam family: RT-16 RNA
About the family: candidate division DUSEL4 (Archaea). Nearby to self-splicing intron genes
Source: Rfam by way of RNAcentral